UAACGCGUGAGUAACCUGCCUCAUACAACGGGAUACCUGAGGGAAACUUCAGUUAAUACGGUAUAAGACCACACUGCCGCAUGGCAGAGGGGUAAAAGGAGCAAUCCGGUAUGAGAUGGACUCGCGUCGCAUUAGCUAGUUGGUGAGGUAACGGCCCACCAAGGCGACGAUGCGUAGCCGACCUGAGAGGGUGAUCGGCCACAUUGGGACUGAGAUACGGCCCAGACUCCUACGGGAGGCAGCAG
This 245-nucleotide ribosomal RNA is filed under the name uncultured bacterium. Its description in RNAcentral is "partial 16S ribosomal RNA". It matches the Rfam family "Bacterial small subunit ribosomal RNA", at positions 111 to 354 of the family's 1533-position model. The record is from RNAcentral.